AUAAACGCUGGCGGCGUGCAUGAGACAUGCAAGUCGAACGGGUGGCUCGGGCUUGCUCGAGCCGCUAGUGGCGGACGGCUGAGUAACGCGUUGGUGACCUGCCCCGACGUGGGGAAUAACUGCCCGAAAGGGUGGCUAAUACCGCAUGUGGUCGUACGUUCGAUCGUACGAGUAAAGCCGUAAGGCGCUUCGGGAGGGGCCUGCGUCCGAUUAGCUCGUUGGUGGGGUAACGGCUCACCAAGGCGACGAUCGGUAGGUGGUCUGAGAGGACGAUCACCCAGACUGGGACUGAGACACGGCCCAGACUCCUACGGGAGGCAGCAGUCGGGAAUUUUGCUCAAUGGGCGAAAGCCUGAAGCAGCAACGCCGCGUGAGGGAUGACGGCCUUCGGGUUGUAAACCUCUUUUGUCAGGGACGAUGAUGACGGUACCUGGCGAAGAAGCCACGGCUAACUACGU
Molecule: ribosomal RNA, 458 nt
Filed under: uncultured bacterium
Lineage: Bacteria
Description: bacterial SSU rRNA
Rfam family: Bacterial small subunit ribosomal RNA
Source: RNAcentral